RNAcentral lists this long non-coding RNA (16198 nucleotides) under Salvia miltiorrhiza (redroot sage). RNAcentral's name for it is "long non-coding RNA (SMIL_LNC000754)". The record is from RNAcentral. Lineage: Eukaryota; Viridiplantae; Streptophyta; Magnoliopsida; Lamiales; Lamiaceae.
CCGAGCAGGCAUCAAUUUGAAUUCUCAAUUACAUGGUACCAAAUGUUUUUUUUAUUAGUGCACAAGUUUCAAUAAAGAAAGGAUGACUAAAUAUGUGUAUUAGAAUUAAGAAAAACUCAUUUCCCUUAUUUUUCCUAAGCUGUCGACUUCUCUUCCCCAAGAACAGAACCAUCUUUUUCUUCUUUCAAAUUUAAUUCCGUAAGAGAAAUUCAAGUAGUAGCUGCAAUACCUUAAAAGAAAAGGUGAAUUCUUCGAUUCUCUAUCUCUCUAUGAUUUUAACUUGAAGAAAAUUUCUGUUUUGAAAUCUAGGGUUUCUUCGAGAAUUUGGAGAUUUUAUGCUAGAGUUAAAAUAUGAUUGUAAUAUUGAGAUAUAUUAUGUUUUUGAUGUUCCUAAGCAUGAUUAUGGUGGUUAAUUGUAUUAAUUCUUACUUGAUUUCGAGUUUACUCAAGUUAGUAUGAACCCUAGGUUUGAGGUUGAGAGUUUUGAUUAUGUUCUUGAAUAAUUGGACUCAUAUAUGUGUUCUUGAGUUGGAAUUAUGUCAUAUAUGAGUAAAUUACGAGUUUACACCAUAUAGGAUGUGAGAUUGAGUUUGUUAGUUUAAUGAAAAUUGGGGCUUUUGAGAUAAGAAGGUUUAUAUGCUAUUUAUUGAUGGAUGUAGAUAUAUUAUGAUGUGAUUUUAUCAAAUAUAUGGAAAUUAGAACAGCCCUAAUGUGUGGAAAAUUGUUAUAAGAAUUGUUAUGUUGUAACUUGUUGGCUUUGUUGUGUUAAACAUGAGUUAAGUUUGAAGUUAAAGCAUUCUAGUAUGUAUUAUGAUCGUGUAUUUGAGUCUACACAUUUUAUUUGGCCAAAGUAUGAGUUAUAUGUUGAAUUGAAACAAAGAAUACAUUGAUGUCAGUUUUUAACUUGGCAGAGCAGUGUCUUGGGGGAUGAUUUUAAUGAUGUUCCCAUAGUCCAAAUGAGUUGAAAUUUUUACUGUAAUAACUUUAUCAUGAGUAGUACGUUUCUGCAAAAUUUCAGCUAAAUCCGAGACCAUUAGAUGUGUCAAACGAGUUUCUGAAAUGUACUGCGCGAAGCAGCGAAGUUCAGUGGCAGAUUUUGCCUUUUGUGAGAUAAUUUCAUAUACACUUGAGAUAUUGUAUUUUUGUAACUUUCUAAUAAAAAUAGACUCUGAGAGAUUUCUAAAAAUGUAAAGUUUGUAUUUUUUCUUUAAAGAGGUUGAUUUUAUAUGAUAUUUCAAAGUUGAGAUUCAUAUAUGAUUACAUAUUUGAGAUUUCUUACUUGAGCAAGUUAUUAAUAGAACUAUGCUAAGUGAUUGAUGUUUAGUUAUUAAUUGUAAGCUAAUCUAUAUAGAAUGGAUUAGGUUACUCUUAAGCUUUUCUCAAUUUGAGAUAUCCCAAGAGAUGUGAUGUUACUAUUUUGCUUUUAGUUAAGUCCAUAUAAGUAGAAUACUCAGAUUAGAGGAUGCAACUUUCAAGUGAUAGAAGGUUCAUUCAAGAUUUACUUUCUAUUUACUUACUUAUUAUCCAAUCUUACGUGGGAACCUCAUUAUAAUGAAGGUUCGAGUGGCUUUAUAAAGUAAACAAGCAAGGAUCUCUACUUCAUUAAGCAUACCAGGUGGGCAUUACUUUUACUAUACGUAUAUAGAGAUCCCCUGCGUGUCGUAGGCCUCUUAUACGAAUGAAUGCAUGAGAUGAUUUAACUGUUAAUUUCAGUUUCAUAUAUAUCAAAUGAGUUUAAUGUUACGUUUGAGCAAGUUAUUUCAUUACAAAAUCUUUGAGUUAAAGUUAUUUCAAGUAUUGUCUUGCCAUAAAAUGUUUAAAUUUUAGUAUGAUAUCUAUCUGCUUUGGCUUUGCCAAUGAUGCAAUCGAAUUCGGGUCCUGAGCAGUUGAUAGCUAUCCUGCCAGGGCUAGUGUAUACCAGUGACCGUGAGUCAUCUAGCGGGUUGGCCGGUCAAGUGACCGUGAGAGGUGGCCACCUCUCCGGCACACAGUUCCAGAUAUGAUAGAUUACAAGAGAAUUUAGACUGCAGUCGAACUUUAAGAAUCACAAAUGAACUUAGUAGGCUUGGGCCUUUUUAGCGAAAAACUCCAUUGCUUUACUAUUUAUGAUGGCAUGAUAAUUCACAAUUUUGAAGUAUGUAUUUUUAUACUUUGGCAUACGUGCCCACUGAGUACUUUUGUACUCAGCCCUGCAUAUACUUCUAAAUGUGCAGGUUGAGCAGCUGCCGGUGGUGAUGAAGUGAUGAGCGGAGCUUUUGUCAUUAAGUUAUAAUAAAUGAACUCUUGGAUACAUGUCUUCAUACAUGUAAUCAGAUUAUCUUAUUCCGCUGCGUACUCAGAAGUUUUAUGUUAUUUAGGCUAAGUCGGAGUUCUAUCCGAACUUACUAGUUAUUUGAGUCUUUGCGACUAAACAUCAGUUAUAUUAUAAAUUUUCCCUUCUUAACAACGAUUGAAAUAUGAUCCUUCCUUAUUUAUUUACCCCAUUUCUAUCCCCGCUUCUAUUCUCCCUCCCUUAGUCACGGUUUCCCGGCUUAAUAAUCCUUAAUUAGGUCCGGUCGUGACAGAGUGGUAUCAGAGCAGUUCAUUUACUCUGAACCCUAGAGUUAACCAAUUUUCCUAGUCGGAUUACUAGUACGAAAGAGUCGGUCGACAAAAGCUCAUCACUUCAUCACAUCGUCGUGCUCAACAAGAAAGAAAGCGGUAAUGAUUUUCAAACAUUGAAAAGUUCACGUUUUAAGUGAAUGUACUGAUGCUUACAUUCAAGUUUUAUGCUUUAUUGUUUGAUUAGAUAUCCCACUGAACUUAGAUGCAUUAAGAAUGCAUGAUCACUGUCACGAGAAGAACAAUAGGAAGUUAGAAACACAGUUAUAUUUCACUAUAGCCAUGGUGAAAGCCAAGAAAGAGGAAGAGAAUCCAAUGAAAGCAGUCAGCGACGCCACAGCACACUAACUUCAUUCAGGUUGUCACGCGAGACGGAACACUAAUCGACUAUUGCCUUAUUCGAUGAUAGUUUAAGUAUGAUAUUCUUAUAGCGAUGAGUGCGACUUAUGUAGUCAGUUAGCUAAUCCCUAAUAAGCCGAGACUCACUUCUAGCCUCGAUUAUCACUAGCUAUGGCUUGAGGAUAACCUUCAUGAUUCAUGUAUGAACUUCAGAGUAGACUACGAGAGGUCAAAAUGCUUUGUAUAUGAUGUUAUAAUAUCGAUUAAAGCUAUCAGCUUAUAGUUUCAGAUAUUCGGAACCAUUCUACUUACAGUACCUAUCGUAUUAGAUGAGAACAUGACUGAGAAUCCUAUUGUUACGAUCACCUACUACGAAUUGGAAAGACGAGAUGGAUAUGGGUACUAGCAGUUACCAACCAUUAUGAUUGAUCAUAAAAGUCUACGCAAGUGCGUAAGACGAGAGAAGUUCUCGAAGAUGGUUCAGAGUUUAAUAAUAACUAGAAGCGCCGACAGUGGAUCGAUGCUGAAACAAAUGAAUUAGUUCUAAUGAGACCCUAAGGAUAUACUCAAGAUUAGUAUACAUACCUUAACCUAUCAAGGACAUCGCCUCAGUUAGAACGUCUUGGAUUAGGCAUUUAGUUUAGUAGCCGAAAUGAGAGCAUUGACUAAGGUCAUUCCAUGACUUAGCAUUACGUAUGGUGACACAUACCCUGUAAACAUGCUCAGAGGAGAAAAAUCUAUUUCCUUAUUGAAUGCGUUAUGAUUCAGAAGGUCUUUUGCAAUGACACGGAAGAGUGAUUCAAAUUAUAUGGUUGCAUUUCAAGCGCUAUGUGAAUGAACACUAAGUACUAGAAGUACUACAUUAAGAUCAUGUAGAGGAAGAUUGCUGAGUAAGGUUGAGCCUAUCUUAUUUCGCCUAUAGAAGAUGUUUAGGGAUUGCAUUAAAUUAGGAGGCAGACUCCAAGUUUGAGAAACUCUAGAAUAUUCUCAAGGACAUGUUCAAGAUGUUAAGAAGAAAGUGGUAAUUUUUGACCAAAUAUACCUUUUGCAGCCAAUGAACAAGAGUUACCAAGUUCGGAAAAGUAUUUCCGAGUGACUGAGAGGUAGUUGUGUCGGACCUGGCCAGUCCACAUGGCCAAAAUCUCAGUAGUCGUCAUAUAUGGGUCUUUAAACCUAUAUAUUUUAAACCUUCAUCUGAAAAGCUAAACGGGUUAGACUAUUAGGUCAUUUCGUUCGACCUUCAGUCAAUUCAUUUCUACCCUAUGGUUAUUCAUUUUCAAUUGUUUGGCAAAUUUUUGGAACACUUUGCCUAAUUGCCAUUUGUGAUUUGAAUCAUUGCGAUCUACUACUGUUGGUAGAUUUUCUGUGACCCAAGGACAACAGUACUCAUCAGAUUAAAUCAGUCAACACGUAUGCUUCAACCCAAGGGUCAAGCACGUAAUGCAUGAGACAAUCUCUUUGCAUUUAGUAGGACUUAUUUGUGUAUUUGAAAACGAGAUCAUUUCGAUGCUUUUGUAUGCCCCUAUGCUGGCUUAGUUAUUUUGACUAGUAUUAGUACGGAAACGCUGGUUCAUAGGGCAUUUCGGAACUGAGCCCUUUCAUGAUGACCUUGCAAGAUAGCCAGUUCAUCAUGUAUAAUGCUUGGAUAGAUCACCAUAUCUAUAUUCAAAUGUUGAUGAAAUAGUCCUCAUUGAUACUAAUUUUCCCGUGUCUAUGUAGCGACCCUAUCAGUCUUUUGCGGCAAGUCACUUCCGCUAUGUUAUUUAUAUACUUUCAUAAGAAAGAGUGUGAGCAAGAUUUGAGAAUCAAGAAAUGGUUUACAGAAGUGAUGAUAUACAACUGUAUGUUUUGAUGAUUGUAUGUCGACUCAUUAGUAUGCCACCAAAACAAGGGCAUCCAAGAAGAGGGAGAAGAAUUCCCUAAGGUAAUGAAAAUAUUAGGGCUAAAAAAAAAAAACAUAGCCCCAUCACCCAUACAACUUGAACAUAGAAUAGAUGAACUAUUUCACGACAAAACUCACCUGCCUUCAGUAGGACAUGAAAUCCAGCAAAAGCUGAGACUUGGGUAAGAGCUAUUGAGUGCAUUUUCAAUUUCAUUUGCGUUUUACAGACCAGGAAGGAAAGCACAGAGAAAAAAAAUGAUAACAGUUGAACAAUUAGAAAAUUUUACGCGGGAUCAUUCUAAACAGAAAUAUAUCAUAAGUAUAUACCCCAAAGCUAUCGCAAGAAGAAGAAAAGUGGAUUUUACAAUCUAAAGUAGGGAAUAAUGAUCGUUACUCAGUACGAUAGGAUGUUCUGUGAUAUGUCGAGAGAAAGACCAGUAACGACGCCUAUGCCAACACCUCCACAGGCACAAACUCAGAACAUUUGAGGAAGAAGAAAAGAGGACAACAGUAACAGUUGUCAAGCGAAAAAGACACCAUGGCAGGGGCAAUCAUCCCAGCAACAAGGCUACAAAAGCUAAAAGGGUACUCCUAGACAGAUAGGAGAUAACCAACAAAGAAUCUUGCCCUGCCCAAAUUGUAACAAGAACCAUGGGAGAUGCUGCAAUAAUGGAAGAGUGGAAAUGAAGGUUGUUACACAGUAGCCAGAAGGGCAUUAUGCAAACCGUUGUUUGAAUAAGGAACAAGGGACGGGUCUAUGCUGAACUUGCUUGUCCAGGCUCCGUAUCUGCAAGCAAUCCAUGUUUUGCCCCACCACACCAAGAGUAGUAACCACGCCAACAACAAAAACAACAACAAUAACACAAGGACAAGACAUAAAGCUGAGCANAUAAUCGCGCCAGUUGCCGAAAGGGGUGCGCACAUAACAAUAAUAUUUCAGGAAACCCUUAUCGAAAGAAUUCAGAGAGGAAAGGAAGGUGGUAGGAUAUUUCGGGUGAGCAGCAAAGCUAUACAGGGGAUUGCCCUGCAUGCGGAGAGUCUGGGUCUGACAGAACAAUUUGGCGGUGUCCCCAACACCGUGAGCUCGGCAUAAAACAUGAAAGGCAUAUAAUCUCCGAAUGGCAGAAGGAGCGACUUGAAAAAGGGGAUGUGAAAAUAGUUACAAACAUCAACCAGCAGAAUAGGAGGAGGGAGUCUCAAACCAGCAUCUAUUUGAGCUUUCCAAACAACUAUCACCUUGGGAUGACGAAGGCUUUCAGGAGGCGUUGAAUCCUUACAAAAGGCCUCGAAUUUUAAACCAUCAGGACGCCUACAUUUGCUUUUCAAUUUUUCCACCUCCGCGACACUAAGGCGGGAUGGAGGAAUACGUUUGGGGGGUAGCGGGGCUUUUUCCCUUUCUCCUAGGUGGAGAAGGAGGGGGUGCAGUUUGAGAUUCGUCAGAAGUAGAGGGGGAAGGAAAAUUUUCAGGAUCUGGCCGCGUUGGGGAGGAAGAUGAAGGGUCUUGGGCAGAAGGAGAGGGCGAGCGAGAGGGUUGAGGGGCGGAGGUGCAGGCCAUGAGGGAAGAUGCCAACCCUAGGGUUUCUAGCACGCUCAAUCAGAGCACCAACAGUUAUACCACUACACUACGAUUAAAUACAAAAUUGCAGUGAAGAGGAUACGCGAGUUACCUAGACCGGAAAAAGAUGGACGGUAAAAACCUGGGCGGAAGGGUCGUGGGAGAAUGCCGGAACAGUGAGGAAAUCGACCGGAAAAUGCAGAAAAUUCGCUCGGAAAACUUGGAGAAGAAGAAUAGUAGAAAAAAAGGGGAGUUCGAACCGGCUAAGUAAGAUUGUACGCGGGUAACCACCAGCACGCGGGAUGAACGGCACGUGGCAUAAGGAAGAAAUACAACGGAUGGGAAGUUUAUACGGAAAGGCGAAAGGAACGCAAGGUUAAAAAGUAAACCUACGGUACGGGGAAAAGUAACUGUAGACUGGGCAGACAUUUAAUGCGGAUGACGUCAUCCACGCGGGCGAGUCCUCUGACUAGUUGCAUCUCUCCAGAGUGAACUAGCCAGACCAGGGAGCGGGAGUAACAAAAAUGCCAGAGAACAAUUUACAGGGCCUCUUUUUACUCUCAUAAUGUCAAAAUGUCAAAAUGCUUAUGUCUUUAUGAUUUACAGGGGCCAAGGAAAAUAACAAAGCUUUGAUGCUGAUAACACACCACUGGUUGAACACGAAGAAUACCCGGUUCAACCAGACUAGAGGGGGGAGUGGUUGGUGAGGAGCAAUAUAUGCAGAGUAGGGAGAGAGUACAAAUCAGAGGAACCACUCUCAUCAGAGGAGCCGUAUGGGUCAGAAGAACCAUUUAUACCAGAAGGAUUUCAUCCAUCAGAGGAAUGACUCUAGCCAGAGGAGUCAUCCGCACCAGAGAAGUCAUUCUUGACAGAGGAGCCCUCUCCUCCAGAGAAAUCAUCCGCGCCAGAAAAGUCAAACUCCAUCAGGGAAGUCAUUACCGCCAGAGGAGACGCCCUUGCCAGAGAAGACGUGUUUACCAGAGGAAUCCCUCAUGCCAGAGAUGUCAAUAUCACCAGAGAAGACGCCUUCGCCAGAGAAGACACUUCCAUCAGAGGAGCCAAUAAACGCGCGGGAAGGUCUCCCGCGUAUUAUCGAAAUUACCAACGUACCCUUCCACCACGCAGGACGCAUGCACCGAAGAUGUUUUUACUAUUUUACCCCUCCGCUUGUAAAUCUAUAAAUAGGGCCCGAGCUCGUGUAUUAUUUUUUACGCUAUCUCAUAUUUUUAAUACAACAGUCAUUUUUCUCUCUCGUAUUAAGUUUCCGAUCAUUCUACUUCGCUCUUUCCGAUCAGUUCCAAUAGGUAUAGUUUACUGUUUCAUCGUGUAGUUUUAGGUGUUGGUUUCAUUAAACACCACUUGUGUAUUUUUCAUGGAGAACAAGGAACCGAGAAAAGCAUCAGAGAUGUGACAAUCGAAUGAGAAUUUCUUGAUGUUUCCUGAAUAUCUCGCCGAUGUGCAACCAUUCUUUUCGAAAGAGGAAAAUUGGCACAUUGAGAAUGUGUAUAAACUAUAAAGAGUUGAACAAGGAGACAUUCAAGAACAAGUACCCUUGUCAAGGAUAAAUGACAUUUUCGAUCAGGUCAGAUGAGUGAUUGUAUUCUUAAAGAUAGACCUAAGGAUUGGGUAUCAUCAACUAAAGAUUUGGUCAGAGGAUGUACCUAAGAUGGCCUUCCGAAUUAGAUAUAGCCAUUAUGAGUUCGUAGUGGUGCCAUUCGGGCUAACCAAUGCGCCAGCCGUGUUCAUGGACCUCAUGAAUCGAGUGUUCCAUCCGUACUUAGACAAAUUUGUCUUGGUAUUCAUAGAUGACAUCCUGAUCUACUCGAAGAACGAGAAAGACCAUGAGGAACAUCUGAGAAUUUUCCUAGAAACGUUGAGGACGGAGCGCCUUUAUGCCAAAUUCAGCAAGUACGAGUUUUGGCUCAGCGAAGUCACGUUUUUAGGACAUAUUGUGUCAUUAGAAGGGAUUAAAGUGGACCCUGAAAAAGUGCAAGCGGUGCACGAAUGGAGAUCGCCUACUAACCCUAAUGAGAUAAGAAGUUUCUUAGGAUUGGCAAGUUACUAUCGGAGGUUUAUGGAAGGAUUUUCCAAAAUUGCAAGGCCAAGACGCAACUACUCAGGAAGGGAAUAAAAUUCUCUUGGACAGAGGAGUGCGGGAAGAGCUUCCAAGAACUCAAGGAAAAGUUGACUACGGCACCAGUGUUAGCCGUCCCAACAGCUGACAAGGAAUACAUAAUCUACACAGACGCAUCCAAAAAUGGACUCGGUUGUGUACUAAUGCAAGAAGGAAAAGUGACAGCAUACGCGUCACGACAGCUUAGGCCACAUGAACUGAACUAUCCGAUCCAUGAUCUAGAAUUAGCUGCAGUGGUACACGCACUGAAGAUUUGGAGACAUCACCUAUAUGGAGUUAGGUGUGAGAUAUUCACGGACCACAAAAGCCUGAAAUACUUUUUCGAGCAAAAGGACCUUAAUAUGAGACAAAGAAGAUGGCUCGAACUAGUGAAAGAUUAUGAUUGCGGUAUUAACUACCACCCAGGCAAGGCCAACGUAGUGGCUGGUGCAUUGAGUCGUAAGAAUCAAUCUAAAUUGGGAUCUCUUAUCACUUAAGAGAUGGAGCUCAUAAGAGAAUUUAGCAAAAUGAGCAUAGAAGUGGUUAAACCACCAGGGACGAUAGCAAGCGUUGUGGCAACGGUACCUAACUUGAGGAAGACGAUUGUAGAAGCACAAAGAAAAGACGGGAAGAUGGAAAAACUAUGGGAAGUGGUAAGGAAAGGAGGCGUCAAGAAUUAUCAAGAAGCAUCAGAUAAUGCUAUCCUCUUUGAGGGAAGGAUAUGCAUCCCCCACAAUGAUGAGCUUAAGGAUAAAAUCAUGAGUGAGGCUCGUGAUACCCCUUAUACUGCCCACCCCGGGAGUACUAAGAUGUAUCAAGAUCUAAAGAAGCAUUUUUGGUGGGAAGGCAUGAAAAGAGACAUAGCAUCCUUUGUAGAGAGAUGCCUAGCUUGCCAACAAGUGAAGGCCCUACACCAAAGGCCAUAUGGAAAGCUACAACCAUUGGAAAUCCCAGAAUGGAAGUGGGAGCAUAUAGCAAUGGAUUUUGUGACCAGUUUGCCCAAAACAAAGAGAGGAAACACUGCCAUUUGGGUAAUAGUGGAUCGACUCAACAAAUGUGCUCAUUUUAUACCAAUACCGAUCACACACGGGUCAGACAAGUUAGCUCAGUUGUAUGUUCGAGAGAUUGUACGCUUACACGGUGUACCCGUGUCAAUCACAUCAGAUCGAGACUCGAAGUUCACAUCUAGAUUUUGGAUGAGCUUACAGAAAGAGUUAGGCACGAGACUAAAUUUUAGCACCGCCUUCCACCCGCAGACAGAUGGGCAGUCUGAAAGGACAAUUCAGACCCUCGAAGAUAUGUUGAGAACAAUGGUGUUAGAUAGGGGUGGAAGUUGGGAAGCAGUACUGCCGUUGAUUGAAUUUGCCUAUAAUAACAGUUACCAGGCGAUUAUCGAUAUGGCACCAUAUGAGGCAUUAUAUGGAAGAAAAUGUAGAUCACCGCUUUACUGGUAUGAAGUGGGUGAGAGAAAAGUUUUAGGACCAGACAUGGUCAAUGAGAUGGUUGAGAUAGUCCGCCAGAUCAGAGGGCGAAUAAAGGAAGCACAAGAUAGACAGAAAUCUUACGCUGAUACGCGCCGAACUAAUUUAGAUUUUAAAGUAUGAGGCAAAGUCUUCCUAAAAGUAUUACCCUCCAAGGGAAUAACUAGGAUUGACGUAAAAGAAAAGAUUACACCACAACUUGUGCGACCAUAUGAAAUUUUAGAAAAUAGGCCCAAUAGCCUAUAGAUUGGUGUUACCGCCAAGUUAUGAGAAUGUCCAAUGUUUCCAACACAUCCCAACUUAGGAAGUAUGUUUUCGAUCCAAAGCACGUGAUCUACCAAAAGAAGAUGAUCCUUAGCCCAGAUUGAGCUAUAAAGAAAGGCCAAAAGCCAUCUGGGAUCAAAAAUUGAAACAACCCAGGAACAAGUCUAUCACUAUAGUAAAAGUCCAAUGGAGACACCAUGGAUAAGAAAAAGCAACGUGAGAACUCGAAAGCAAGAUGAGAGAAGUUACUCAAAACUUUUGCGAUAAUAGGCAAAUUUCGGGACGAAAUUUUUGUUAAGAGGGGUAGUAUGUAGUAGCCCGCUCUUUUAUUUAUGAUUAAGACCAGUAAUGCGAUAAUUAUUGUUGCAUCCUUCACUUAUUAAUUAUAUUAAUAAAAAAAACAGUAAUUAUUUAUGUUUAAAAUUCAGCUAUGAUUCUAAAUUGUAUGUAUACUAUGCUUAUUAUUAUUUUAGUUGUGCUUGUUAACUCGAGUGAGAAAAAUCGCAAUAUAAAUUAUUGAGCCAGUCAAUAAUUUAUAUUUUCAGAUUUAUAAUUGACUUAGCAAAGUCAAGUUAAAGUUGUUAUUUUAUAUGCGAUAGAGAUUUUAUUUCUAUUAGUUACUUGAAAGUCGUGAUUUAGUUCCGACUAAUGAGAACGAGUUAAAUUAGUUAUUUAAUUCGUAGAGAUGUUAUAUCGAAGCAUAAUUAUUCAGCAAAACCUAGAACCAAUUUUAUAGAUAUGCGAUGAUACAAAGAAAUUAGAUUUUCAGAUACAACUUUACACAAUGACUGUAGGAAAUUAUUUACAUCACCACUAUUCCCUACUUACAAUCAAAACCUAUCACUAUCACAAAACACUACAGCUACAUACCUACAAGCAUGCGGGAGAUAAUGCGUGAGAGUAAAAAGAAGAAAAAAGAGAGAAGACCAAUCGGCUCCUCCCUUCAACUCAGCCAACUGACUCAACCCAAAACACCUAAUGGAUUGACUCGCAAUCGUACGAGGUCGUCCUAGUGAAAUAAGCUAACCCAAGUCGUCUCUCAAGGAAGGCUAAACAGGGCUUUGAUCAUGCUACGCACAGAAAACAUGAAAUAAACCUAAACACUCUAAUCAGAAGUUUGGGUCUGACACUUUCUCUCCGAUUAACUAAUGCGUAAUUAAAAUAAAGCAUAUAAAGUUAACUAGGCAAAAGAUAGAAAGCCAAUAAGAAUGCAAGAAGGCAAACAAAGCUAGGGUUCUAAACUAGCAAUCUAGAAAGCAAUCAUCAAUUCAACACCAUAAACAACGAUUAUCUAGGCGAAAUAACAUAUUAACAUUUAAUCAAAUGAAUGUUAAGCAAACACACACAAUCAAAGAGAAUUUCGCAAGCAACUCAACGACGAACUAACUAGAACAUGGCAUUUGAACAUUAACGAAAUCAACUAGAGUUUCCAACUCCAACACUAAACCAAACGAUCAUAAACUCGUAAACAUCUAAGAUUAAUAACUACCUAGGCAAGAAACUCAAUCAAGCAUAAGAUUCGAAUGCAAGAAAAUCUUAAUCUCCAUAAAAGAAAUCUCUAAAUAUUCAUCAACAAGAAAGGAAAAGGGUAAACAAUCGCAACAAACUACGAAUCACGUAGAUUAUCUAAACUCAACAACAAUUAUCUCCAAUCAUCAUAUUAAUCAAAACACAAAAUAAAGAUUCAAAUAAACCAAAGGAUUUAGAAAACCAAGAGAAUCUAGAAUCAACAACAAUGAACUUCAAUCUUCACAUUCAUCAAAUACAUAAAACACAAAACUCAAUUAACCAAAAUAUUCAUAAAACCAAGAGAAUAUAAAAUCAACAACAAUAAUCUUCAAUCAUCAUAUUCAUUAAAGACAAGAAACAAAGACUUAAAUAACCAAGGGAUUCAUAAACAAAGAGAAUCAAAGGGAGUUCUUACAAAACAUAGCAAUCCAAGGAAAACCAAUUCGAUGAAGUGUUAAUUGACAUCCAAAGCAAUCCAAUGAAUCCAAGAUUGAAAGUAAUUGAUUUGGAACUCUAAAAACCUUAGGAAAGAUGUGAAAAUCGCCUCUAGAGGCUGCUGGGUCGAGAAUAUAAAGUGAAACCCUAGAGAUGGGUUUUAAACUCAAAAUCGUACUGUCGGAUCACGGAGUCGGCGGCCGCCUAGAGUAGGCGGUGGCCUAGAGUAGGCGGUGGCCUAGAGUAGGCGGUGGCCUAGAGUAGGCGGUGGCCUAGAAGUAGGCGGCCGCCUACUACCCCUUUCGUAAAUCCAAAGUAGGCGAGCGGCGAGGCUAGGCGGGCGCCGUGCGCGCGGUGUUUUUGUUUUGGUCCGUUCUCCCUCGUUUCAAGUCGGAUUUUAGAUCCAUUUUCGCCUACGAACUCGUAUCGAGACGAACUUUGAUUCUUCAUCAGACCAUUCAACUAAAUUCUGACUUUAAUUUUGUUCACAUAUCAAUCAAUGUGAGCACAAAAUCCUGAGACAACAAAAUUAGCACAAAAGCUCAAAUCAUUCAACUCUUAAGUGAAAGAGACCAAAAUAAAAGUCAAUAUAACACGUAAACACCCAGCGAUUUAUCACAAAAUAGGGCUAAACACCAACCACCAUCUCCAAUCUUUUGACUUUACAGCCAACAACUCACUUAUUAAAGCACCAGCCUAACACUUCAUUCCUUCUCUCAUACACCAAUCACCAGCAAGGGAGAUGAAGAGAAGUUAAUUCCUGCUGCCAACUGCCAAGUAUCGAGAGGUGAGUCUUGGCCUAAGUUUUCUUCAUUCCAUACUUGCUUCUUUCUGCAUUUGUUGAGGAAACAACAUUUGCAAUUUCAGUUCAUUCCCCAUUGAAUUCAAUAAUAACAGCAGCCACCAACACAUUCUCAAGGUAUUUUAUGCUAUCUCAGUUCACUACUUUCAUAUACACAUUUUACACCCCAACCAGAGCAUGCUUCUAUGUAUUAAAGGUUUCAGAAAUAAUAGGAUUAAGCAUACUACAGAGAGACAUAGCAAACCAUAUGCGAAUACAUGAUUUAUGGCGUUUCACAGAAGUAGUAUGAUUCAUUCAUUGAGAUAUUACCACUGUACAUAGAACCAAAAUCAUGAGUAUUCUGCCCUUAACAACUAGAUAUUGAAGUAGAAGAAGAAUGAAAAUAGAGAACUUAGCUUAAGAAAUAGGGCCGACUGCCCUGCUCUGAAUCGGGAUUGAACGGCGCCGAGGAGUAGGCGAGGCGACACCCUUCGCCGGGAACAGCGACAGCAACGGCGAAGCCGGCCUUCCAGUAGCAGCAGCGGCAUCGGGGCUCGGCGGAAAUCAGGUGACAGCAGCGGCCAUUCGCGAGCUUCCCAGAGACAACAACAGCAGGCGGCGUACCUCCUCUUCCAGAACCCAGCAGCGGCAGAGCACGGCUCGAACCCACCAACUUCGGAGAUAGCAACACGGCGGACCCUGCUCGCCGGAAUCGCACAGCAGCAGCGGUGGUACUCGCCGGUUCCGCGGAGGUGGCAGAUCGAAGCGGCGGCGGCGCUCUCUGAUUUGGGGAGGAAUUAGGGCUCGCCCUUCUCGCCUUGGACGAACUGUCAGCAAGAGGGGUUUUAGAGAAAGGAGGCGGCGCGGNUUCACAGAAGUAGUAUGAUUCAUUCAUUGAGAUAUUACCACUGUACAUAGAACCAAAAUCAUGAGUAUUCUGCCCUUUAACAACUAGAUAUUGAAGUAGAAGAAGAAAUGAAAAUAGAGAACUUAGCUUAAGAAAUAGGGCCGACCUGCCCUGCUCUGAAUCGGGAUUGAACGGCGCCGAGGAGUAGGCGAGGCGACUGCCUUGUCGGAAUCUGAGUUACAGUAACGGCGAAGCCGGCCUUCCAGUAGCAGCAGCGGCAUCGGGGCUCGGCGGAAAUCAGGUGACAGCAGCGGCCAUUCGCGAGCUUCCCAGAGGCAACAACAGCAGGCGGCGUACCUCCUCCUCCAGAACCCAGCAGCGGCAGAGCAUGGCUCGAACCCACCGACUUCGGAGAUAGCAACAACGGCGGACCCCUGCUCGCCGGAAAUCGCACAGCAGCAGCGGUGGUACUCGCCGGUUCCGCGGUGGUGGCAGAUCGAAGCGGCGGCGGCGCUCUCUGAUUUGGGGAGGAAUUAGGGCUCGCCCUUCUCGCCUUGGACGAACUGUCAGCAAGAGGGGUUUAGAGAAAGGAGGACGGCGCGGUCGAAGAAUGGACGCCGGCAACUCGAACAGCGGAGAAGAAGCGCGGCGUCGGAUGUCGACUGGAAUCGAGGGAGAGACCUUGACUGAUUUAGAGAGAGAAGGAGCUCUCGACUGAUUCUGAGAGGUAGGUGCGGCCACGCCGGACCUAGGCACGUGGCAGUUGACGCCGACCGGAGAAGGUGGCCGGAGAAGAAGAGGCCGUCGACCUUGAGAAGAAGAAGAGAGAGAUUGAGUUGAAAGAGAGAGAGAGAACGUAUCUGGAAAAAAAAAAGUGAGAAACGAGAAUUUAGAGAGAGAGUGAACCGAGUGGGAGAGAUAAGGAGGACUUGGGCCUUCUCUUUGAUAGAUUUGGGCUUUGUUAUUUAUUUUCAUUUGGGCUUUGUUAUUUAUUUCAUUGGGCCGAAUUUAUUUAAAUUAAAGCCCAUUUAUUUUAUUUUAAUUGGGCUGUUAUAUUAUCUUCGUUGGGCCUCGUUUGAUUUAUUUAAUUGAGCCCAGCUAAUCAAAUUAUUUAUUUAUUGGGCCAAGAUUUAUUUAAUUACUUGAGCCGAUGAAUUAUUUCAAUUGGGCCUCUCAUGUUAAUUAUUCAAGCCACUUCUACUUAAUUAAUUAUUAGGCUGCCUUAUGUUGAGCCUUUUAAUUAUUUAAUCUUAUAACAUUAUUUAUUCCUAUUUAUUAAGCCCGAUUAAUUAUGAGGUUAUAAAGCGAAUAAUCUGAAGUAUUUAUUUAUUUUCUUUUGACUACGAGGAGCGGGGUUUAUUUAAUUGACGUAUUAGAACACCCCGAAGAGAACGGAUUAAUUUUUGUUAAUUAUCCGGCUUCAUGAGACGAGACUUAGCUUUUGUUUAAAUCCGAUAGCUUGGAUUAACAAUAGAAAUUCCCUGAUUAUUAUCUCAGAAUAAUAGUUCAUGCAUAGGAGAUUCAUGCAUAGUUAAAUUACGCAUUCUCAUUUAUUUGAGAAUUUUUCCUCGAUUUAAAGUCUUACGUUAUUUUCCCGGAUUAAAGGUCGAGCGCAAGAAUAAGAGCUCAUCAAGGAGUCACUAAUCUGUAGCAAAGCUUUGCUAUCAGGUGGGCAUUACUUUCAUAUAUAUCAAAUGAGUUUAAAUGUUACGUUCAAGCAAGUUAUUUCAUGACUAAAUUAAUUGAAGUUAUUUCAAAUAUUGUCUUGCCAUAAAAUGUUUCAAUUUCAGUAUGAUAUCUAUCUGAUGUGGCUUUUAUCAUGUAAUCGAAUUCGGGUCUUGAGCAGUUGAUAGCUAUCCUGCCAGGGCUAGUGUACACCAGUGACCGUGAGUCAUCUAGCGGGUUGGCCGGUCAAGUGACCGUGAGAGGUGGCCACCUCUCCGGCACACAGUUCCAGAUAUGAUAGAUUACAAGAGAACUUAGACUGCAGUCGAACUUUAAGAAUCACAAAUGAAUUUAGUAAGCUUGGGCCUUUUAGCGAAAAACUCCCUUGCUGUACUGUUUAUGAUGGCAUGACAAUUUACAGUUUUGAAGCAUGUAUUUUUAUACUUAGGCAUAUGUGCCCACUGAGUACUUUUGUACUCAAGCCCUGCAUAUAUUUCUAAAUGUGCAGGUUGAGCAGCUGCUGAUGGUGAUGAAGUGACGAGCGGGACUCUUUUGUUUUAUUAUAUAUUAAUGAACUCUAGGGUUACAUGUCUUCAUACAUGUAAUCAGAACCUUAUUCCGCUGCGUACUCAGAAGUUUUAUGUUAUUUUGGAUAAGUCGGAGUUAUCCGAAUUUACUAGUUAUUUGAGUCUAUACGACUAAAUCUCCGUUAUAUUAUAAAUAUCC